This is a long non-coding RNA of Cyprinodon tularosa, 620 nucleotides long. RefSeq lists it as uncharacterized. The transcript is spliced from 3 exons. The record is from RefSeq and is a predicted model, not a curated record. NCBI's taxonomy places the organism in Eukaryota, Metazoa, Chordata, Actinopteri, Cyprinodontiformes, Cyprinodontidae.
AUGACAUGAUGUGAAUUGGAGCUAUAGAAAUACACUGAAUAGAAUUGAAUUUCCUAUGUUAUUGCAUUAUUAAAAUAUGUGGUACAAAAAGAGUAUAUGCUGUGUAUUAGGCACACAGAGGCACUACUAUAUCUGGAGGGUGCCAAAACAAUGUAUGAAAAAAAAAAACAGUUUUUAUUUUCGUAUAUAAAAGCCUUUUUGCAUGUGUAAAUUAUAAAGAUUACAGAUUACCCCGCACACACAAACCCCCUCUUGCUUCCUUGGUCCCCGCCUGAGACUGCGUGACUGAACUGGAGAGUGUUUCCAUGGAGGAGCAGUGGUGCUAAAAUGGAGUCAAAUCAAAGGAAGCUCUCAGGAGCUUAAAACAGGAAACAAAAGAGGGAGGAGAGAGAUGUUGCCUCAGUGAAAGGCAACUUUUCCCAGGAGCUAAAAGAUGGCGGGUUUCAGCUUCUGGAACACUCUGCGGCAAUCGCUAUGUCUUGUCAGCUGACCAGCUGCAAUCUACCACGUUCUCUGGGCUUGGACUGAACUGUUAAACCAGAAGUUGCUGCCUUGGACGCCCUAGCCUUUGCUACUGCAGAGCCGCAGAUCGGUUGUUUUAAUAAACGCUUUUCGAGUAA